GCAGGAGGAAUUGCAGAGCCGGAGACGCGCUUUGGUGGGAAAAGGAUUCCUCGCCAGGACGGGGGCUUAGCGCCAGAGUGGAAGGCACAGAUUGCGCGUCGGGGGCCGCCGCGGAGCGAAGCGCUUCGUUAUCCGGCUGUGAACAAACGCGCGGCGCGGAGCCCGGCGGGAGCCAAGCAAAAGGUGAUGGGCGGUGUUCUGUGAAAGCUGUGAGUAAACGGUGACCUCUAACUCGCCGUAUCCUUUCCUUAAGUAAACCGGAGGAAAUGAAGAGCGCUGGUAUUGUCUGAAAAUAUCCUCCUGCGGCUAAAUAUAUCACUUGAUUCCUAUUGUCCAGCGGCUAUUCAUUUUGCGUAAAUACAGCUGUUUUCGUCCUCACCGUACUCGCUGUAACUCAUAAUAAUAAAACCAUCUUGACUUGGGAACCCGGCGAAAAAUGGAAACUUAUUUCUGGGAUACCCCAAGCAGCAACGGUUAAAUAACCCAAAGCGAUGCGGCUCCGGCUCCCUGUCCGAGCUGUUGCGGGUGGGAGCAGUAAGCGGGGAGCGGGCGGUGCUCGGCUGCCGAGGGCCCGGCGCGCUGCUCCCCGCGGCCCCGCUGCUUCCAAGGGCAUCACCUCGGGCAAGGAGGAGACGUGGGAAUACGAGACGGGAAGAGGGCAUGCAGUCACUCCGCCUUGUGAAGCUUAUAGGACACCAGCUCUCCAGUACAUUUCACAGCAUUCGGCCUUCUCCGUUUUUGGAAAAAUAACGAUGAAUGAACAUGGGAAGCCCAACGGGCAGUUUAAUUUCCAAAGCAACUUCUUUCUGUUAUGAAACAGAGCACAGACUAAGAUACCGCUGCCAUGUCUUCUGCUCUUUCCUGAAUCUGCCAGAAGGAUACAUUGCCUGGUACUAGAAUAAUCCUACGGGACAUUUAUGAUCACGGCUAAGAAAAAGGAAGAUCUCCUAUGGAAUCAAGUAUGGAAAAUGAACACCGCUCAAGGCAGGUGGCAACGAAAAAAAUGGCUUACUUGCCUCCCUGGGGAUGAGGGAAAGAAAAAUGGAACAGAACAAAGCUGUGCAAGUAACCAAAAAAUGGAAGUUUAAACUCCAAACUGUAAUAUAAUAAAAAAUAAUCACCGGACA
Molecule: long non-coding RNA, 1127 nt
Filed under: Numida meleagris (helmeted guineafowl)
Lineage: Eukaryota; Metazoa; Chordata; Aves; Galliformes; Numididae
Description: lncRNA (ENSNMEG00000018640.1)
Source: RNAcentral